UGAAGCUUGGGGUGCUCGAAAGAGAACCUGGACACAGGUGCUGCAUGGCUGUCGCCAGCUCGUGUCGUGAGAUGUUGGGUUAAGUCCCGCAACGAGCGCAACCCUUGUCAUUAGUUGCUACAUUUAGUUGGGCACUCUAAUGAGACUGCCGGUGACAAACCGGAGGAAGGUGGGGAUGACGUCAAGUCCUCAUGGCCCUUAUGGGUAGGGCUUCACACGUCAUACAAUGGUCGGUACAGAGGGCAGCGAAGCCGCGAGGUGGAGCCAAUCUCACAAAGCCGAUCGUAGUCCGGAUUGGAGUCUGCAACUCGACUCCAUGAAGUCGGAAUCGCUAGUAAUCGCGGAUCAGCAUGUCGCGGUGAAUACGUUCCCGGGUCUUGUACACACCGCCCGUCACACCAUGGGAGUGGGUUUCACCAGAAGCAGGUAGCGUAACCGCAAGGGGCGCGCCUACCACGGUGAGAUUCAUGACUGGGGUGAAGUCGUCGUAACAAGGUAACCGUAA
RNAcentral lists this ribosomal RNA (505 nucleotides) under uncultured bacterium. Its description in RNAcentral is "bacterial SSU rRNA". It matches the Rfam family "Bacterial small subunit ribosomal RNA", at positions 1003 to 1505 of the family's 1533-position model. The record is from RNAcentral.